GGCAUGUUCAUGCAUAGAUAGUUUUAAACAAAAUGAUUAUGUUUUCUUUAGAUGGAAACACAAGGUCAUUGUCGCUUAAUAAAAAUUCAGUCCUCGUCAGACACCUGAUUAUUUGAUCCAUUCUGAAAUGUUCCAGAUUCCAGAGGUUUGAAUAAACAGACUGAAACCUCCGUGGGCUGCUCUGAGAAAAGGAACUUAUUCCUCCUUUUCACUUGCAAGAAAUAUUACAGCAAAGCUAUUGCAUUUUGCAAAAUAUUUAAAUAACAUUUUUGAACUACUAAUGAUAUGCAGAAUAUUUACAUUUUUAUUUGAUGAAGCCAGUUUGUG
Non-coding RNA from Pelobates cultripes (western spadefoot toad), 327 nucleotides. The record is from the annotation of a GenBank genome assembly. NCBI's taxonomy places the organism in Eukaryota, Metazoa, Chordata, Amphibia, Anura, Pelobatidae.